RNAcentral lists this ribosomal RNA (492 nucleotides) under uncultured bacterium. Its description in RNAcentral is "partial 16S ribosomal RNA". It matches the Rfam family "Bacterial small subunit ribosomal RNA", at positions 29 to 507 of the family's 1533-position model. The record is from RNAcentral.
AGUGAACGCUGGCGGUAGGCCUAACACAUGCAAGUCGAACGGCAGCACAGUAAGUUCUUGCUCUUACGGAUGGCGAGAGGCGGACGGGUGAGGAAUACGUCGGAAUCUACUUUUUCGGGUGGGAUAAGGUAGGUAAACUUACUCUAAUACCGCAUACUACCUACGGUUGAAAGCAGGAGAGCUUCUCACCUUGCGCGGUUGAAUGAGCCGAUGUGGGAGUAGCUAGUGGGCGGGGUAAAGGCCCACCAGGGGGACGAUCGGUAGAUGGUGUGAGAGGAUGAUCAGCCGCACUGGAACUGAGACAGCGUCCAGAGUCCUAAGGGAGGCCGCAGUGGGGAAUAUUGGACAGUGGGGGCAAGCAUGAUACAGCGAUACCGCGUGGGUGACGAAGGCGUUGGGGUUGUAAAGCCCUUUUGUUGGGAAAGAACAGCAGCAGGUUAGUACCACGCUGUUCUGACGGUACCCAAAGAAUAAGCACCGGCUAACUUCGUG